AGUGAACGCUGGCGGUAGGCCUAACACAUGCAAGUCGAACGGCAGCACAGUAAGAGCUUGCUCUUACGGGUGGCGAGUGGCGGACGGGUGAGGAAUACAUCGGAAUCUACUUUUUCGUGGGGGAUAACGUAGGGAAACUUACGCUAAUACCGCAUACGACCUACGGGUGAAAGCAGGGGAUCUUCGGACCUUGCGCGAUUGAAUGAGCCGAUGUCGGAUUAGCUAGUUGGCGGGGUAAAGGCCCACCAAGGCGACGAUCCGUAGCUGGUCUGAGAGGAUGAUCGGCCAACAUGGAACGGGAAAACGGCCAAACACCCUACGGGAGGAAGAGGGGGGGAAAAUGGGAAAAGGGGCGAAACCCGAAUCCAGCCAUACCGGGGGGGGGAAGAAGGCCUUGGGGUGGUAAAGCCCUUUUGUGGGGAAAAAAAAGCAGCAGGUUAAACCCCCGCUGUUCUGACGGUACCAAAAGAAUAAGCACCGGCAAACUUGGU
This 491-nucleotide ribosomal RNA is filed under the name uncultured bacterium. RNAcentral's name for it is "partial 16S ribosomal RNA". It matches the Rfam family "Bacterial small subunit ribosomal RNA", at positions 29 to 506 of the family's 1533-position model. The record is from RNAcentral.